CCCUUUCUCUCAAAUAUAGCUCCAUUUUCAAAUUUCAAACCAUAAUUUCAUUCUCUCUCUCUCAAAUCCAGAGUGCCUCUAUCUUUCAAAAUUCAUCUACGGUUUCAAGAUCGGCAUUUAGAUCAACACUUCCGAGUUACAAAAAAGUUCGAAUUUUAUGAAUUUCAGAUCAACACUUCACAAAAACAGAGUUAUAACUUCAAUCAAUGGUGAUUGAUGUUUGUUCUUUGAAGCUUGGACUGCUGAUGGAAAUAAUCGAAUCCGCUACAUCUCUUCUUCACCGAUUCACCAUUGAUAAUCAAAGGUAUGUUGGUAAUUUCAUUCCUUUUAUUAUAAUGUGUCGGAAACUGUAAAGAACACACCGAAACCGUGUUGGUUUGUGGCUUUGGUUCCUUGUGCUUUGAUGUGGGGUUGCUCGAGUUUGAAUGAUGAAUCUUUGGAACCUCAGACAUGUGAAUAUGGCAUGUUUUACUAUAGUCUGUGUGACGUUGAGGUAAAUUUCUUACUGUAAUAAGAAAUAAAGAAUUAAUCAUGCAGUGAAUUUAAAAAAUUGGCAUAAAUUCUUUAAUUAGCAUCUAAGAAUAUGUACAUGAUUGGUUUUGUGUAGGAUUUCAAGUACAGCAAGCAUUGUAAAGUUUGUUACAAAUGCGUCAAUCAAUCUGACCAUCAUUGCAGGGUAUAUAAGAAACUAAUAAUACAUAAUUACAUUUCUUUAAUAAUUAUUUUGCAGUGGCUGAAUAACUGUGUAGGCAAGAAGAACUACAAAAAUUCUUUAAUCUUAUGAUCUCCGCACUUCUCUUGGGGUAUGGACGUAUGGUACAUGUCCCGGUGAUAUAAGUGAUUAAGAGUUUGGUCUAAUGAAGUAACUUUUGGAUUGGUAUUAUAUGUUGGAAUUAUUGUUACCUUACCUUUUUUAUUUUUAUUAUGACCUUGAAGUUGGUUAGGUAGAGUAACCGAAGAAUGGGAAGAUCCAUUUUUUAUAGUGGGAUGCACAUGAUGUUGUCAAGAUAAAUAUGAGCUUUAUGCUAAACUCAGUAGAUGGGUCAGCAAAUAGACAAUUGUUGCUACUUAGAUUGAUUAGAUUAGUUUUCAUCUAUUUAUAUCACAUUAGUGCAUGCUAUUAGUUUGGAUCCAAUACAAGUUCCCUAUUCUCCAUUCACUCAAAACGAUUUAUCUCCUCUUCCCAUCCCACUACUACUAUGUUUCUUGAAAAUCCUAAUGGAGAUCUCAAUUAUAAUCUAAAGAGGUGUGUUUUCCUCCCCCUUUUAUUUGCUUUGCCUGGCUUUUUAUUUUUCUUCUUGCAUAUUUGUGAUAUAUAAUGUCUUGGUUUACCAAUCUUUUAGGGCUAUAUCGAUUGUGAAACGCCUUUAGUGUUGUUUUCGCUAAAGUAUGAAACAGUAUUGUUUAGUGUUACCGCUCAUGUGUUUUGUUUGUUCAUAAAUAUUUUUUAGAAGAGCGUUUAAUGAAAAAGGAUUUCACAAGAAGUUAGCUGAGAUGCUCUUGGAGAGGAAUUCAAAGGUUACGUCUUCAAAAUCAUGGGAGGAUGUGACAAACACGGAUUCCCGAUGUGACAAACAGGGAGGAUGUGACAAACAAGGAUACCUCCGGCUGACCGCAUUUUUAUCUCCAUGCAGUUCCACAGUUUCAUGGAGGAUAAGUAUAUCUUAGUGAUGGGACUGCAUUCAUUUUCGGUCAAGAUAUGCGAUUAAACCCCAAGGCUGCUCACCAGCUUGACCUAAAUGCCUUGGAGCGCCUCUCGCUUUUUAAAGCCAAGCUUAUUUUUACAAAACGAAAUGUCAAUGUUUGGUCAUCUUAUCUUUGAAAUUUGACCAACAAUAAAUGUUAUGUUGCAGGUUUGUAGUUGUUUUAAAAUACAUCAAAAUUUUGGUGAUCAACAUUGUAUCUAUUGAUUCUACAGAUAUGCUAACGAUAAUAUACUAACGAGGCUUAUUUGGAAUAUAUCAUCACUGGUGUGAAUCAUACAGCACAUAUUCAAGGUCUUAUGAUUUCUUUACUCGGACCAUCUAUUCUCCAACAAACAAAGACAAAUGGAUAAAAAUCAAGAGAAGUUAGCUCUUAAUAGUGAAGCAAGGCGUGCCAGACAAGUGGUGAAGUUUUAUACAACGAGGGAAAGAUUGUUCAUAUGCUAACCCUCACCUUCUAUGCUUAGAAGCGGUGCUAAGUCGGGUUUAGAAGGUGAUGAUGUGGCAACCCCUAAAGCAAUGAGUAGUUAUUUACAUCUUAGAUUGACAUCUCUUCUUGAAGAAGCCAAGACGAUUUGAGCUACAAGCGUUCCUAUGGUUGUUACAUGGAUGCUCAAAAUGGCCCGUCAUUGGGUAGUAAGUAUCUUACUUUGUGCUUUUCCUUUUGAAGAACAAGAAAAAAAUAUUUUUAUUUACUGCUCUGUAUCCUUGAUUGGAUUUUGUAAACCUCUAAAGAUGAGAAUUUGCUAUGUGUAUAUUGAUAAAGCGUAUGCACUAAUUUUAACGUUAUUUUACUGUUUUCGUGAAAAUAACGUUAAAAGAGGGGAUGGUUAAUCAUGCAUCAUGUGGUGGCGGAGUGGUAGCUACACUGCGUAAGGUGGUGAAAAGGGUUUUGGACGUCAAAUAAAUUCCAUUGUUGGGAGUAAACGUACUCUGCUAGAGAUAGACUAGGAGAUACCGUGGAGCUUAGUAAUAAAAGGUUUGCUAUUUUCUCUAUUUGUUACCCCUUUACUCUUUAUGACAAUUUACAUUACCAAUAUCUCGCUUAAUAGAGCUCUCUACCAAUGGCAAAGAUGAGUAUAUAUGUCUGGAAAACUAUUUAGGAUUUCAAUUUAUAUGGUACAAGUUCUAGGAUUGAUGCACAACCUUUUCAACUUAAACUAUGAAAGGUGUCUGUCUAGCUUAUGAUGUUUGCUAUAUCUUUUUAUACAAUGCAUCUAACUGGUAAGUUAGUAGAAUAUCAUUACUAAAAUUCAUGGUUAGUUGUUGUUACUUGAGCAUCAAGUUAGGGGGAUUUUGUGAACCAACAUCAGUGUUAAUAGAUACUUUAUACGGAUUAUUAUUGUGCAAGAGUUAUUGUAGCUUGCUAAUUAUAAGUUACCAUUUACAUGAGUAGAAAUUGUUGUGACAUUAAUUAUAUAAUCAUUUGAUAUUUAAAGAAUCAAUUGUCACAAUUGCAUGAUUUACAAGUGUUACAAAACUAGCUUACAACCCCGUCUAUUACACGGGUUAAAUAACGAAAAAAUGUAAAUUAUAAACUUGUAUAUAAUCCUUAUCAAUGAAAUGACUUAUUUAGAUAAAAUAGUAAAACAAAAGAAUAGUCAAUUUUCGCUAUUCAAAAUAAUUUUCUAAGUUUUCACUUCUCUUUUGAGAUACUACAAUCCAUUUUAUUAUGUCUUAAAAAGA
Molecule: long non-coding RNA, 3389 nt
Organism: Helianthus annuus (common sunflower)
Lineage: Eukaryota; Viridiplantae; Streptophyta; Magnoliopsida; Asterales; Asteraceae
Exons: 9
Source: RefSeq, a predicted model, not a curated record